Non-coding RNA from Triticum aestivum (bread wheat), 138 nucleotides. The record is from Rfam. Lineage: Eukaryota; Viridiplantae; Streptophyta; Magnoliopsida; Poales; Poaceae.
AAAGUACUCCCUCCGCCCCAAAAUUCUUGUCUUAGAUUUGUCUAGAUACAGAUGUAUCAUCAAGUCACAUUUUAGUAUUAGAUACAUCCGUAUCUAGACAAAUCUAAGACAAGAAAUUUGGGACAGAGGGAGUAGUUG